GAUGAACGCUGGCGGCGUGCCUAACACAUGCAAGUCGAGCGAUUCUCUUCGGAGAAGAGCGGCGGACGGGUGAGUAACGCGUGGGUAACCUGCCCUGUACACACGGAUAACAUACCGAAAGGUAUGCUAAUACGAGAUAAUAUGCUUUUAUCGCAUGGUAGAAGUAUCAAAGCUUUUGCGGUACAGGAUGGACCCGCGUCUGAUUAGCUAGUUGGUAAGGUAACGGCUUACCAAGGCGACGAUCAGUAGCCGACCUGAGAGGGUGAUCGGCCACAUUGGAACUGAGACACGGUCCAAACUCCUACGGGAGGCAGCAGUGGGGAAUAUUGCACAAUGGGCGAAAGCCUGAUGCAGCAACGCCGCGUGAGCGAUGAAGGCCUUCGGGUCGUAAAGCUCUGUCCUCAAGGAAGAUAAUGACGGUACUUGAGGAGGAAGC
This 436-nucleotide ribosomal RNA is filed under the name uncultured bacterium. RNAcentral's name for it is "bacterial SSU rRNA". It matches the Rfam family "Bacterial small subunit ribosomal RNA", at positions 28 to 491 of the family's 1533-position model. The record is from RNAcentral.